Molecule: ribosomal RNA, 455 nt
Filed under: Fusobacterium sp. oral taxon A11
Lineage: Bacteria; Fusobacteriati; Fusobacteriota; Fusobacteriia; Fusobacteriales; Fusobacteriaceae
Description: bacterial SSU rRNA
Rfam family: Bacterial small subunit ribosomal RNA
Source: RNAcentral
GAUGAACGCUGACAGAAUGCUUAACACAUGCAAGUCUACUUGAAUUUGGGUUUUUUAACUUAGAUUUGGGUGGCGGACGGGUGAGUAACGCGUAAAGAACUUGCCUCACAGCUAGGGACAACAUUUGGAAACGAAUGCUAAUACCUGAUAUUAUGAUUUUAAGGCAUCUUAGAAUUAUGAAAGCUAUACGCGCUGUGAGAGAGCUUUGCGUCCCACUAGCUAGUUGGAGAGGCAACGGCUCACCAAGGCGAUGAUGGGUAGCCGGCCUGAGAGGGUGAACGGCCACAAGGGGACUGAGACACGGCCCUUACUCCUACGGGAGGCAGCAGUCGGGGAAUAUUGGACAAUGGACCAAGAGUCUGAUCCAGCAAUUCUGUGUGCACGAUGACGUUUUUCGGAAUGUAAGGUGCUUUCAGUUGGGAAGAAAAAAAUGACGGUACCAACAGAAGAAGUGA